Molecule: non-coding RNA, 112 nt
Organism: Acanthosepion pharaonis
Lineage: Eukaryota; Metazoa; Mollusca; Cephalopoda; Sepiida; Sepiidae
Source: the annotation of a GenBank genome assembly
UUCGGCCACAUCACGUAGAAACACCGGUUACCGUACGAUCACCGAAGUUAAGCAAAGUUGAACCUGGUCAGUAUCGAGAUGGGUGACUGCUUGGCAAUACCAGGUGCUGUAA